GUUGAGGCACAGCUGUAUGAAGAGGCAUUUGCAAUUUUCAAGAAGUUUAACUUGAAUGUUCAAGCUGUCAAUGUCUUGUUGGAUAACAUUCAAAGUAUUGAAAGAGCUGUAGAGUUUGCGUUCCGGGUUGAAGAAGAUGCAGUUUGGAGCCAGGUGGCAAAGGCUCAACUGAGGGAAGGAUUGGUGAGCGAUGCUAUUGAGUCUUUUAUCCGUGCAGAUGAUGCCACUCAAUUUCUGGAAGUCAUUCGUGCCGCUGAGGAUGCAAAUGUGUAUCAUGACUUAGUUAGGUACCUUUUGAUGGUUAGGGAGAAGGCCAAAGAGCCCAAGGUGGACAGCGAGCUGAUAUAUGCCUAUGCUAAAAU
Molecule: unclassified non-coding RNA, 362 nt
Filed under: Hevea brasiliensis (rubber tree)
Lineage: Eukaryota; Viridiplantae; Streptophyta; Magnoliopsida; Malpighiales; Euphorbiaceae
Source: RNAcentral